This 15888-nucleotide long non-coding RNA is filed under the name Theobroma cacao (cacao). RNAcentral describes it as "long non-coding RNA (TCAC_LNC006153)". Lineage: Eukaryota; Viridiplantae; Streptophyta; Magnoliopsida; Malvales; Malvaceae. The record is from RNAcentral.
CAAGUUUUUGCUCUACCUGUUUCGCCUCUGCCUUGGCCUCUUUAAAUUUGAUUAGACUAUCCUCUAAAUUACGAGUAAGUGCCAGCUUGACAGAUUCCUUCUCACUAAGGAGAUUCUUGUCCUGCACUGCUUUCACUACUCGCUCAGGUAGUUGUUUAAAGUUCUCCUCCAUGGCCAACAACUCAUCUUUUAGCUCAAUCGUAAAGGUAGAGGAACAAUCAACACUAGAUAGGACCUUGAAAGCCUUCUUAAGUGAAGAAAUCAUCCCUGAAUCAUAAAAGUUAGCUGGGGCCAUAUUCAGGGCUUCAUCUAUGUUGACCAGAGCUUCCUUUGCUUCUUCUUGAGAAGAAACAAUGUUACUUCUUGCGAGCUCAGACUCUAAGCUAGUAAAGAAUGUGUCCAUAUCUUCCUCAGUAGGGUCUUCAGGUUCAAUGGUCUGAAAUAAAGGGAAAGAAAGUAAUAAUAGAGAUACAAAAGAUGUAUAAAAUAUUUACAAUUAACUUGGCUGACUUACCUCACUCUGGGAAGAAGACUGAUCCGCAGUUGGCAAUUUUUGAUUGGUAGAUUCUGCCUCAUCCUGUCCUGGAGAAGACAGAACCGCAGGAGCUGAAAGGAUAGCUGAUGACUGAGUGGUGAUUUCCUCUGGUUUGACUAUUGUAGGUUUUUGGUUGUCUAUGGCUGCUUCACCGUGAUCAGCUUCCUUGCUCUUGAGUUUAUCAGAAGCAGUUUCAAGUUCAACUAUCAAUGCAUCUGACAGCAAAUCAAUAGUCCUAUCGGUGGCAAUGUAAGCUUCAACUAAGCAUGCAUCAUUCACGAGAUAGCCUCUCUUAGGGUCGAGUAAUUCAUCGAGAGGCAUGAAUGAAGUGAAGCCCCAAUCAUUCUCCUUUGCAUUAAACUCAUGAUUAGUGACUGCCAAAAGCAAAGAGUAUCAAUUAUCAACAACCAUUUGUGUAAACAAUCUGAUGACAAACUCAAAGAAGAAAAAGGCAUGGAAUAGCAUAUUCGGCAUCUGGUCUUUGCAUGUUUCGACCAUGCCCAAAGCCUCAAACAAAGCCCAUCUUUCAAGCAUUUACCACCUGAGCCAGGGCCCAGGAUCAUAGACAAAAAAUAAAUAUUGAGCCCCAAACAGAUAAAUUCAAAGUAGUGAAAAUAAGAGGAACCAUUCCAUUAGCCAAGGAAUAGAAAUUAGAACAGAAAACAAAGAUAGUGAUAGGAAGUUGUGUUCUUUAAAGAAGAUUCCCCGACUUCUUUCCUAAAGCUUUGACGGAAGGAAAAGAAGAUGCAGAGAGGGGAAACGGCAAUAAGUGAAGUUGUUUGGACUUGGGGGAGAGUGCUAGAAGGAAAUACCUUUUGUAAUCGAAGUUUUAGGAUCAGUUUGGUUGAUGACAGAUAAUCUGAAUUGGGCAUAUCUACUCCAGCCAGGAGGCAAAGUUGCUGAAUCUGCAGCAUCUACAUAAAUUGAAAUAUGAUCCACCUUGUUCCCCUUUGGGAAGACAAGAAGUUGCCUGCCAAACAAAAUUGCAAGUCUCAGUGAUAGAGAAAUGCAACUUGAAAUAUUACCGAAUCCUUAGAAUUACCAUUUGUUGCCACCAACAUGGAAGAUGUCAGAGUAGAGCUUGUUGCAUUUAAUACAGGAGAAAUUCUCAAUCCUCCAUGUGAACUUUCUCACUUGUUGACUUCCCAUAGACUGAGACUCACUUCUAUCCACUGCACUCAAAAACAAAAAGAAGGAAACAUGGAGGAGAAGAAUUAAAGAGUAAAAGGUGAAGCUAUUUAUGAAUACCUUCCAUUAUGAGAUGAUCUGCUGAUAAAAACUACUAUGCUGGAGAAGGUAGAGUGGAAGCUCUAGAGUUGAAAUACUUUAUUUAUACAACUUCGCCUUUAAGCUAUCUUUGUUAUCACUUGAACCACAUCCCUAUAUGUUUUUGAAUAAAGUAAAUAUAAUUUGACUUGGUCUUCCUUUUCAAUUUAAUAAUUACUUCCACUACUUGGCCUUGAAGUUGUCUUUCUUUCCUGGCAAUUCAUGGUACUGCACCUUCACAACCACUUCUUGUCUAUAUCAUAAAAAUAGAAAUCCAAAAUAUUAAGAAAAAAUAAAUUUUAUUUAAUUGAUACUUAUUUUUUAUAUCAUAUAAUAUUAAUAUAUUACAAUAAUAAAUAAUAACGUGAUACGUUGAUAAUUGCAUAUGAUUAAAUGAUUAUAUAAUAUUUUUAUUUUUUUAUAAGUGUCACGUUAAUACCAUGUGACAUAAAAAAUGAUAUAUGACGUUUAAUCAAAAUUGUUAAUUAUAAAUAACUAUUUGAUUUAAAAUAAAAAUAUAAAAAUUUAAUUAAAUAUAAUAAAAAGUAAAAACUUAUAAUUUUAGAAUUUUUUUAAAACAUUAUUCUUUUUACUUUUAUACAAAUAUAUAAUAAAUGAUGUCUUUGCACAAAAAGCAUAGUAUUAUUCCUUUUACUUUUAUAAUUUUAGACUGCCCUUUCCUUGAGCUCUACCUCUUUCUUUAUUAUAUAAUAUUGAAAGUAAUGAUAAUUCUAAAAUUAAAUAAAAACUAAAGUUAAGAAAAUAAAAUAUAUUAAAAUAAUUAUUCAUAAAACAUUGUAAUAUAUUUUAAUAAAAUAUAUUAAAAUAAUGCAAAGAGUUUAUGUAGAAUUGACAUAAAUCGCUUGGGAAGAGCUUCUUCCUCGUGCAAAAGUUUAACAAGAAAAAUAAUAAACAACAAUAGGAGUGAGAGUUAAAAAGCAAAUUCAGCUUACGAAAGACGAUCAAUGAUAAAUGCUAUGUUGCAAUGGCUAGCUCCUCAACGGGAAAGGGUUAAACUUACUAAGCUCUAGCUAGGAAACCCAAGACUUCAGUUUUCUAAGCGAUGAACUUAAUAGAUAUUGUUGGGAUUCGACCUCAUACUCAAACAUGAAAAUAAUCAAGAAAUUAAAAAAUAUAACACAGCAGAAUAAUAAGCUAGCAUUUAAUCAGAGAAACAGUUGAAUCCUACAGAAUCAAUAUUUGUGUUUUUCUUGUAACUUUUAAAUUAAUUAUGAACAGUCAUAAGUAUAAUAGUUACAUACUAUCACAACCCAAUUCUCGGGCCAUAACCGACGCAAAGGCCCAAUAGGCACAGCCCACUAGACCCUAGCAAGCCUUUCUAUAUGAACUUAUACAUUAGUCCAUCUAUCAUCCAUAUUUCUUUAAGAUCUAUACUUCAUAAUGUUCAAAUGAUAAAUUUCUUCGAAAACAAUUCAUAAAACACAAGUAUAUACUCAUAAUGGCAUCAUCAAUCAAAAUAUACAUAAUAGUUUGCCAAAUGAAUCUUAACAAUUCACAUUAAACAUACAUGUAGAUAUACAAAGACCAUGAUUGUCAGUGGAGUGACUCUGGGCGUGGGUGCUAACAUUUAGUGUCAUGGCAAACCUAUUGAAAAAUGGAUAAAAAUGAGCACCUCGACCUAGGACCCAAUCACCUCCAAUUCAGAAAACCUAAAACACGAAGUUAAAAGGAAUGAACAUAAACCCAGUGAAUGAACAUAGGAAGGGAACAAGCAUACGAUACGGAAAGUUUUUAAAAAAAAAACACAAUCCACUUUUGUUAAAAACAACAAUGCAAUAUAAUGUAAUUUCUUGUUAAAACCCCUCAAUUCAGCCCUUGAAUAGUUAAUCCUUUAGUGUUGAAGAAUUCAUGAUCAACAAUGAAAUUAAAAAGUGAAAACUACAACACUCCAAACAAGGUAAAAAGUUUCUCACCAUCGCGAAAAUCAAUUUGGUUGCAACGACAACAGUGACUUCCAAGACAGAAAGUUUCUCACUGCGGCAAAAAUCAAUAUGGUUGCGGCGAGAACAGUGCAAAUGGAGUUAAGAGGAUUUUCGCUACGGCGAAAAUCCAUUCUUACUGCAGUGAAAAAUGAGGUUGUUUGCAAUGUACUUAUUUAGGUUCAGUUUAUGUUUGCUCACCCCUAGUACAAUUUAUAUAUAUCAUAAACAAACCCGGCGCUAUGUUGUCUUUUAACUCAUUAUAGAAACAUUUGACAAUUUCAAUUUUCAACAUUCAAGGCAAUCACAUAUCCUUUCCCUAACCUCUUUAUAGUAUGUCUUAACACGUAUACAACCACCGGCUCAACCCAGCUCAUGUACACUCCCACACCGCACAUAACUAAUGUCAUCAUGUGCACUCCCACACCGCACAAGGCAAUAUCAUCAUGCGCACUCCCACAUCGCACCUCACCAUCAUCAUCAUGUGCAUUCUCACACCGCACACGCACAGUUGUAGUUAUCAUGCAAUGUUGCCUUUCAAGGCAUAACAUAUAUGUCAACAUGUAAACAAAAAUCUUUACACAUUAAUACUUUUCACAUAAUUUAUUGUUUUAGCCAUACGCUUAGUUACACAAUCCUAUUUUCUAAGGAACUAAUAUUGACCUUCAUACAGCUAUUUGUCACAUCCCAAAAUCAUCAUUAUGUCAUACACCACAAUUCACUUAGUAAUUCAACACAAUGUAGGAAAUACAUGAAUUUAUCACAUCACACAUUUCACAACGUAAAGACGUUUCACCGAAGGCUUGUUCCCAUGCGUAUUUUAUAGAAAAGACAAAUAAAAUUUUUCAAGUGAUUCAUUCAAACGCAUAAGCAUUUAUCCCAAAACAUUAUAAAUGCAAGUUCACUCACCUUAAUAAUGUCACCUUACAAAUCUAGUACCCACAAGAUCCUAAUCCAAGUAAGUCCUGAAAUACCAUCAGAACCUAUGUUUACAAUUAAACCAUGACAGCCUCAAAUAAAUCAUAAAUUUGAACUUAAAAACUCUAAUAAAUAUACACUAGCUAAAUUAUAUUUGAACUAACAUUUAACUUAGAAUUCUAGUCUAAUUCACAAACCCAUUAAAUUGACUAUUCAAAUUUAAGGUUUCUUUACCUUGACGAGCUUGGAGGCAUAAAGGUCAACAAAACCUAAUAUUUUCAAGAAAAAGAAUUUGAAGAUUAGGAAAUAAAAUCUGAAAAUAUAACCCAUAAAUUCUAAAAUUUUAGAGUUGAUAAUAUAUACCUUUUGGCUUUAAAAAAAUGAAUAUCUGAAGCUAAAAAUUCAAGUGUUGAUGACGAUAGAGUAGAAAUAGAAAAUAAAAGAAAGAAAAAGAGAAUUUUUUUCUUCCUCUCUCCUAGGGUUUAGUUUUGCUGAAAAAUGGGGUUGAAAGUUGUGGGUUUGGUACCCAAGAAGGUAAAUGAAGGAAGAAGUAAGAAGAGAAAGGGAAGAAAAAGAAAAUGAAAAAAAAAUUGAUUUUCAUGGUGGAGAGAUGAAAAUGGCGUUGGGAGGGUGAAAAAGAAGAAGAAAAUGCCUUUUUGUGAAGAUAAGAAUCGGUCAUGGAAGAAGAAGAAAAGAGUCAAAGCUUCCCUUUGAAGCUUUGACCAAGCUAAGGGUAAAAUUACCAUUUAACCUUCCAAGAUUUUUCACCCUUUUUAAUGAAGUCCUCCCACAAUCUUUUAAUUCGAAUUUCUUUCUAUUUUUCUUCCUUAACACUUGUACCAAUAAAAUAUCAAGUUUAUACUUCAACGCGAUAUCACCAUAAUAUUUAAAUAUAUACUUAUCAGUGCUAGCUUUAUUUAAUAAAGACACACGAAUCCCACUAAUGUCAUUUUUCUCCGAAAUUUCCUCGUUCUUCUUCUCCCCCCGCUUAGAUUGACUAUAUACUUGUCCUUCAUGACUAAUUUUGACAUCGAAUAAGAUAUUAAUAUUUUAAUAUAAUUUUAUUAAUAAAAUAUUAUUUUAUUUCAAAAUUUUUCACUUGUCUCCUUAGUACCCAAAGUGUCUUAUUAUGCCCCGAUUCACUUUCGAAUCACUUGUUAUCUCACUAAUUCAUCCUCAAUAACGGUAUUAUUAUUAAUUAUUAUUUUCUCACUGCGAAAUGUUUUCCUCUAAAUAUUGUUUUCACCCAUCACCGUUCUUUGACACUUAAAUUCAUGUUAAUUAGCCCUUCAUCUUAUCGAUAUGGUUAUGUUGACUACUAUACGGGGGUACGAUGUAUUACACAUACCUUACUCUAGAUAUCAUAAUCAAGAGCCGAUUAAAUCCAAAAGGCUUGUGAUGGAACAAAAAACCCAAAAAGAGAAUAAGACGACCUAAAAUCCUGCAACCGAAAUCUUUGCUUCUUCACCUUUAGGAUUUCUCAAAUCUUCAGUCACCUAAGUGUUUAGCCUCUAACAAUAAUCCACAUAGUGACUGAAUAAGACCUUCUCAAAGGUAAAAUUUUACUUGUGCUAGUAAGUUUCGUUUUCAAAACAAAAAGAUCAAAAGUUCUUACCAAAUCUUAUUUUUGUAGAUAAAAAAAAACUAUUUUUCUUUUCUUAUUUCAUGAAAUGGCUGAGAAGUAGUUGAAGGCUUAGAGUUUUGGUAUAACGACCCAACCUCGGUCACUAUCGACGUUCGAGACCUUCGGGAGAUCCCGCCAAGUCCCGAACAAGCCUCUAUGAAAUUCUCAAGACAUUUAUUAAAUAUGCUCUCACGUGCAUAAGCGAUUAAUAAUAAUAGUCAUACUACUGAUAUUUCUUUUUAAAUAAUAACAAUUAAAUGUCAACCACCAAGUUUUUAACAAUACAUAUCCAUGAAUUACAAUAAUUCACAACAUCUAAAAAUCUUAUGUAACUUGACCCUAGACAGCGGAGAGACUCGGAGCUGGCUAAGAGAUGCCUUUACCUAUUCUCAGUAGACUGAACACACCGACGAGUACGCGCUAGGCUAAUCCCUACCUGAAAAAGGGGAAAUAAAAAGGGUGUGAGUCUCAUAGACUCAGUGAUCAUCAUCGACCCCGUGAGUAGACGAGGAGGGGAAACAAACAUAAAGAUUGGAUAUUUAUAAAACCAAUAGUAGGCAUAGAAAACAAACUCCAUUAAAUUGAGAGAUUUUGUUUUUAUGUCUUGCAAGUCUUAAAAAUAAUAAAUCACAAGUAAACAUAUAUGAAAACGAUUAUAUUUAGAAUACUAAAAAUCUUUCAACUUUGAUAUUUUGUUAACAAUAAAUUCAAUUACAAGUGUAGAAUGAAGAGUCAAACAUAAAAAUGCGAAAUCACUGAUCACUAAUGAAUACGUAAAUUCCACUUGUCAUUCAAUAAUAAAUUUCAAGUGUAAAUGCCAUGCAUUGUGUAAUAAAAAUCUACAAGUGAGCAUCAUCCUUGGGUCGGUUUAGUAUAGCCCUUAGGCUUACUUUCUCAAACAUCAUCACCUACUCGUGGGAACCUCCCACGCCACCAUAUAUAAAUCGGGGCUUCAGGUCCCCCUUUACCUACUCGUGGGAACUAUCCACGCCACCUUAUAUAAAUCGGGGCUUCAGGUCCCCCUUUUACCUACUCGUGGGAACUACCCACGCCACCCUAUAUAAAUCGGGGCUUUAGGUCCCCCUUUUAUAAUCAAAAUCAAUAAUCAACAAUUAUUACUUUGUGCACAAAGACCACACUUGACUUGGUGUGGUAACAGGUCCUACCCAUAGUAUUUCAAUCACGUUAAAAUGAAAAUCAUUACAAUUUAAUGCAUAAUUUAUUUCAAAGCAUAGCAUAUCCAUCAAAUCAACAUGUUAAGUGAAAUCAAUAAAUUUAUUUAUUUUUUUAUCAAAUCCCAUUAAUAAAAUAAUAACCAUUGGCCCAAACAUCACACAAGCUUGCAAAGUAUGAUUUUGAAGCGAAAGCCAUUGAAAGGUUUGUUUCCCCGUAAUUAAAACCUUGUAGAUAUAUACUUAUGUAUAAUACAAAAAAAAAUGAAUUUAAAAUCCUUGAUUUCAAUCGCAAACAACCUAGAGUUUUUUACCAACUCAUGCUUUCCACAAUUUCAUCAACCAUCAAAUGUAAUAUAUAUAAUAUAUUUACAAGGAUAUAGUUUUUGAAAUUUAGUACCCACUCACCUCAUAAUAGCAGGACGCUACAUCGCUAUUUCUUAUUGUCGAUCGCUCGUCGUUUCUUCUAACCUGCCACUGCAGUGCACCACCUUUACUUACUUUUCCUGAAUAGUGAAACUCAUUAUUAUUAUUAUUAUUAUUAUUAUUAUUAUUAUUAUUAUUUUCUUUCUUUUUUUUUAUUACUUUUUUUUCUUCAUCUCCUUUCUCCCCUUACCGUCGGCCUUCCUUCUAGCCGACGUUCCUCUUUUACUUUUUUUUUUUCUUUCUUCCUUCCCUCUCUCUUUUUUUCUUUUUUUUCUCCCUUUUCCUUCUCCUCCGACACCGCUACUCUCCCUUUCUUUUCCUUCUUCUUUUUUUUUCCUUCACCCUUUUCCUUCUCUUUUGGGACCACUGCUCUCCCUCUGUCUUCCUUCUUCUUUCUUCUUCUCUCUCUUUCUUUUUCUCUAGCAUGCCCCUACUCUCCCUCUCUUUUCCUUUUUCUUUUUUCUUCUCUCUCUUUCUUCUUCUCCAACACGUUGCUCUCCCUUUCUCUCUUUCUUUUUCUCCAACACGUCGCUCUCCCUUUCUCUCUUUCUUUUUCUCUUGGCCGGCCCCACCUUUUUCUUUUUUUUUUUCCUUCAAUGGUCGAGCCCCCUUUACGAGGUGUUACAUUUAGUUUGCUAACAAAACAUAUUUAUAUAAUCAAACUAAAUUGUAACCUUAAAUACAAUAAUUAUAUUUUAAUUUAAUUAAGUCUCUGUGAACUUAAUUAAUUUUUAUACUUUAAUUUGGUCUAUUCUAAUUAAGUCAAACUCAAUUGAUUAUCUUUAUUUAAUCUCAAUCAUGUCACUUAAUGUGUGUGACCCAUUAGGCUUCUAACAUGUUGACAAUAAAUAUAAAUCAUAAUCAAAUAUCAAUUUGAUAAUUAAUUUAUAUUUAUAGAUCAUGAGCGGCAUCUAACAAUACAUCACGAAUACUCAAAUGUUAGAGAGUCAAUUAAAGAAUUUGACAAAGCCCUUUAGUGAUAAGCUUCUCACUACAACACAGUCCUUUCAUCAAAUAUCUUGGAUAUGUUAUUAAGCAUGGCUUGGUGUCUACUUAUGACAUUCCAUAUUAGUUCUCAUAAUUCAUGACUAAUCUUAUGAAUUUAGCAAACUAAGUUUCCUCAAAUUCAUCAUGAUUUGGCCAAAUACAUUAAACAAAUUAAUCAAGAAUUAAAAACAAGUAAGAUACAUCCUCUCAUAGCAUUUGGGGUGAUGAGUCUUCUCUUGACUAGUUAUUCACCUUUGCAUGUAUCAUGGCAUGCUUAAGAACACCAUGUUUAGGCAUUUGGUCGCCUUCAACGCCGUAGGGGUGAAACCAAAGUAUGUCAUUCCUCAUACAAGAUGACAUGGUGUCUCAAGUUUGAGGAUGACUAACCUUAUGAAUUUAGCAAACUAAUUUUCUUCAAAUUCAUCAUACUUUGGCCAAAGACUUUAUACAAGUUAAUCAAGAAUUAAUAACAAGUAAGAUACAUCCCCUCAUAUCACUCGGGGUGAUGAAUCCUCUCUUGACCACUUUUCAUAUUCGCAUACUUCAUGGCAUACCCCAAAACACCCUGUUUAGGCAUCUGAUCAUCUCUUAAUCCGUAGGGGUAAAAUCAAAUUAUGUCAUUUCCCAUACAAGAUGACCUAGUGUCUCAAGUCUGAGGAGUAGUUGCACGACUAUCACAUGAUAACAUAUUCCAUAGACAUUUAGGUGAAACACCAAAUGAAGUUCUAAUAACAGGUCAUGUUCAGUAAACUUGUUCUUUAACAAGCAUCCACAUGUUAUCCUCAACUAUCCUAUAUACUUCAACUUAUGAGAUUGAUUGCUUACUUUCCAAGUAAUGAGGCUUAACAUGUACUAAUCUUUGAGCAUUGUCAAUGCCUUGUCUUGACAAUACAAUGACCAUGAACAAUUUUAAGAACAUAGCUUUGAUGCAUAGUGAUAUCAUAAGUGAAACAACUUUACAAUUCUUUUACAAGGCUUUUAUGUUCCAUGGGUUUCAUCCAAUCAGUGCUUAGUAACUCUUUAUUAUUGCACUAACAUUAAGAAAAACUUCUAUCACAUAUAGUUAUGUAAUUAAAUAUGUAUUAAAUGAUAAUAUAUAUUCCUUGACCAAUCUAAUUGGCUCAAGGGCGUAUACCAACAAUUUUCCACUUGCACUUGAGUCAAUUGCUAAUGUAUCCAAUAUCGAACUUUUUCGCUUGGCAACUGUGUCUGUACUAGGAUACCUCAAAUUGCAAUAUUUGGAAAUAUGUUAAUUUACAUGUUUGACAAUCUCUGUUGUCAUAAUUGAAAUACUAAUUUAGAUUACAACGAGACCUUGAUUCCAUUAUUAUAGCUCUUGUUGUUACCUUAACAACUCGAAAUCAUUUAUUGGUUCAUUAAACCAAUGAUCCAAGUAUCUUUUCUUUUGUAUCCUAAAUAAAAGAUUUGUAUCCGAUUAUAAAUAUAAUCAUGUAGUUAUCUCUUGUUUUGGAACCGGUCCAAUACAAUUGCUCAAUCAUGACUUUCAGUCACUUCUAACAUUUAGGAUUCUUUCUAUGUUAAACUCUUUUAAUAUGUAAUCCUAAAUUCUUUUCUGGAGUCCCUUUCUAGGCUCUAACUCUUUAGUCCAAUUAUAAUUUUUUUUUUAGACUGGUAAAUGCAUCUUGUACACUUUUAAUGCAUAACUUAUCUUACUCCCACUAACCUUAUAAUGUGCACAAAAUAUGUUUAUCUUAUUCAAUAUAUUCAACUAUUUUGAAUUUAUUACAUUGAAUAGAGAUUAUUAUCUAAUCAUUCAUGUUGGAUUAUUUAGUAGACUCAUCUUAUAUGAGUAGUACAUCAAUAUGCGUCCUACUAAUAGUUUAUAUUUAAUGGAUUCAUCUCAUGAAUUAUGCAUCCUUAUGCAUCCCAUUAAAUCAAUCUUUGUGUAUAGAUCUUAUCUAUUGGAUUUCAUAAUUUCAUAACCCUUGAUCUUUAAAAAGUCAUUAGCUCCACUAUUUCUAUCAUGUAUAGAAAUCCUACCAAGUAAACUUAUUUACUUUCUUUUGGGGCAUUAUAUCCAUAACUUUUUAUGUAUAAAUACAUAUUAUAAGUUGUUCAUCAUUGGUUAUGGGAUGAAAUCCUAUCAAAGGUUAAUUCAUGCAAUUAACUAGGUUUGGAAUGCUUUAUGAUUCGUCUCUUAUGAAUUCAAUAUGAUAAUCAAUUGUUAUUUAGUUCUAAGCAAUCUUAAUUUAGAUCCAAGAUUUCAUUAAAAAUGCUCAUUGACUAAAUAUGUUCAUAAUCCUAUUAUGAAUUCAUUGAGUUAUGACUCAAUUUUAUCUAAGUCAACUCAUUAAUUUCCUUUUCUGAUUCAUAAUCAAAAGAAAAAUAAUCUAACAAUGAUCUUAUCAUUAUGACUUAAUAUUGAUUAUCAUAUACGCAAGGUUAUACUUAAAGAUAAAUAAUUUAGAGCAAUUCCAAGAUAAAAUGAGAUGUACUAUAAAUAUAUAAAUACAUAUAAGCUAAGCAUCUCAUGCUAGAAAAAUAUAAAUCUAUGUUUCAUAAAAAUAAAAUAAAAUAUUCAGUCAUAGGCCCAAAACCAAAACAUCUCAUCUUGACAAUCAUGUCAUGAAAACAUUCAAUGUUCUAAAAUUAUUUAUUGUUCCACAAUUUAAUCUAGGUCGACAAGCUUGAUCACUAUCAACUAGGGUUGUUCCCUUCAUGAUCCUAUUUUUCACUGCUCUUUGUCAUUAGUUCCUUCAAUAUGUCAUACAUAUUAUGUCAUACAUAUUAAAAUCAUUAAUAAAGAGUACAAUAUCAUAUAUCAAGUAGUGAAAAAUAAUCAUCACGUGAUUCAUACCUAAAGUGGAAACUUUUUUUUGUUUCUUCCCUUUGAUGGAUUCAAGAUAAUCCUUGCAAUUGCACCUCUAAUGCCCAAGUUUGCCAUAAAAAUGGCAUUUGUCAUUGUCCUUGUCCUUCUGCACUCUUUCCAUAGGCUUCAUAUCUUUCAAAGUUGAUGCCUUUUCACCCUUAUCUUUCUUAGAAAAUUUUCUUUCCUUAUUUUUAUUUUUCUUAGAAGAAACAAGAUGAAUUAGAGGCUUCUCCUUCGCAAUGGUGUUCUCAGUCUGUGUGAGCGUAUUUAAUAAGCCCACAAGGGUUACCUCAAUCUUGUUCAUGUUGAAGCUCAACAUAAACUAUGAAUAGCUCUCUAGUAACGAAAAAAGUACAAGGUCUAUGCUCAAAUUAUGAUCCAUAACCCAACCCAACUGCUCAAGUCGAGUGAUAUAUCCUAUCAUCUUAAGCACAUGAGGCCUUACUAGGCUUCCCUCAGAUAUCUUACAUUGGAACAAUUCCCUUGAAAUAUCGAAUCUUUCUGUGCAACUUUCCUUAUCGAACAUUUCUCUAAGGUUUAGGAUAAUAUCCAGAGCAUUUAUAGCUUCAUGUUGCUUUUGAAGAUCUAGAGUCAUACUAGCCAACAUCACACAUGUGGCAUGAUCGAGAUCAUCCAUAUAAACUCUAUAGGCCUCAUUGUCCUCAUUUGUAGCACCGUCGCUAGAUUCAUUGGGAACAAGACUAUCUAAGAAAUAAACAUUUUUUCUCUUGUUUCAAGACAAUCUUGAUAUUGUGAAACCAGUCAAUGAAAUUUAGUCUUGUUAACUUGUUUGCAUGAAGUAUGCUUCUAAAUGACAAACUAUUCACCAUGAUAGAUUUAUAUUCAAUAUAAACUAACAUAUAUAAUUAUUAGUCACUAACAAAAAUUAUAUAAUCAUAAAGACAAAGUUUCAGAAUCUUAUAUGAUUAUUCUCAAUAUUUUAUCAAAAUAAUAGCCCUCUUCUAUUAUUUCAAGAAUUUAACUUUUAAACUUUUUAUUGAGCUAGGACCAUUUUCAUCCCACCAUGACCUUGAGUGACUCAACAAGUCAUAAUGAAACUAAUUAGGUAGAUAACUUAACUUACCAAUUGUAUUUUAUACAACUCCUAGAUCAGUUAGGUGAUAACUCUUUGUCUAAAUGCAUCAUAUACAUUUUGCCUAACUAUGCCUCUAAUACUAUGUGGUCAUGUGUGACACAUCUAAACAACAUGGUACUAGUUGAGUAAGACCCACCAAUAACUCAAACGUACUCGUGAAAAAGUUUGGCUUUGAGUGACUCAAAAAGCCUCCAAUUAAAAGAGCAUCCUGAUUAUCUUGUUAUAUAGUGAAAGGUAACUUUUAGACUUAAUAUUUUAAUGAGAGAUUUUAUUUAUUAAUUCAUUAAUUAAGGUCUCAUUAAUUUGGCAUUGUUGACAUGCAUAGCAUUUAUUGCAUUUCACAUAUAUCUCAUAUAUAUAUAUAUAUAUAUAUAUACUGAAAAAUAAAUCUAUCUCAUGCCAACUUCUAGGAUGAUUAUGGACUUUACUAAUUCUAAUUUUCUCGAGCCAUUAAGGAAAUUAGUUGGUCAAAAUCCUAGGGGAUUUACACAAACAUCGUCUUCAAGCUUUUCUUGUAAUUUCCUUGAAUCUCCAUGGCGCCUUUGGAUCUCCAUCUUCAAGUUACAAAAAUUUUUUCUAACCCUAGUUUUACACUUUGAUGUAACUAAUUACAUUUUAUAAUCAAGAAACCUCGAGUUACAUUCGAGGGGAGUUACGUGAGAAAAGAAUUUUACAACCCAGAGAAAAUAGAGAUAAGGCAGGAUGCGCAUACAUUAUUUUAAAAUAAAUACUAUGAGAAAUAAAUUUAACCAUCUAUGACCUAAUUUUCUAAAGUCUAAGUCCAUAAUCAUCCUCAUGCUUUAUAAUCAUAAUCAAAAGCAUAGAAAUAAAUGCAAAUUCAAUAUCAUUUGGUGAUCUUAUGUGUUAUUUGAGAAAAGCAUCAAUUAAUUCACUUAAAGUGCUAGACUCUUAUUAUUUUGUAUUGUUUUAUUUCAAUUUAGUGUUUAAGAAAUUCCUAUUUUCAAAACACUUAAAAGUAAACAUUUUACUCCUUAUUUCUUAUUAGAAUUCACUGAAAUAAAAUUUUCCUUUUUAAGACUUUUCAUUUUAAUUCUUUUCAUAAUUAAAACUCCUUUUAAUCUUGGAAACAUCUUUUUUUAGGUAAACUUCCUAAAAUAUAUCUAAGAUAACAUUUUAUUUUCUAACAUUUAGAACAUGAAUUAGUUUCUUAAAUUGUAUGUUGUUCAAGUUACUUAAAUGGUGACUUAACAAAUUUGGAAACUUCUAGUCAAACCAAAAUUUUAAGGAAAGUUCAAUGCUAUCACAUAACUUUAGGAAUUUCUUCUGAAGUAUGAAACUAUUUCCUUUGAAUUUCACAAAUUAAAAUACUAUCCUUAAUUUUAAGAAUUUCUUUUAAAGUAGGAAACAAUUUCUUUUUUUUUUAUAAAUCACUCAAAAUUAAAAUAAAUGGCAUUUAAGUGCUUUUAAAACUCCAUAAAUCACGAGUCAAACUGAGGAAAAAGUUGCUGAAAAUUUUCAGCAAGUGUGUUUAACAAUUAAACACAUAAUUCAUAAAGAAUUAAGCCACCAAAACUGAUCAUAGCUGCCAAAAAUUUUCUAUAUUGAAUCUUUGUUAUUUUGGAACUCGAAAAAUUAUUUUUAUGAACCUUUUUCAUACUAAAUCAAGUUUAGCCGAAGCAUGUAGUAAUUUAAUUUAAUAAAACUAAUUUUUAACAAUUAAAAAUUGCUCAUAACAAUUACCCAAUGUUAAUAAAAAAUAAUCAACGCACUAGUUUUCAAAACACCUUAAAACUAUUCGGUUUUAAUUUGGCUUUGCAAGCCUUUUUAUCCAAUCAUUAAUUCUUCAACUAAAUAUGAUUUUAAACCUUUUAAAACAUGUUUUAAUAAAUUAAUUACAUGUUGUCCAGAAUUGAAUUAAAACAGAAAAAUAAAUUUUAAAAAAAGCUUUGAGAACCGAUAUAUACCAAAUCAACACAUAAAUCAAUCGUAUUAAUUAUCAUCAAGAAUCAAGCAUGCAUAUUACAUAAAAAUAUCAAACAAAAGCUCUUAUACCAAUGUUGAGAUUCGACUUCAUAAACAAUUUAAGAUAACAAUCAUGUUAUCAUCCUUACAUGUUUAGACCUUUCUGCUUAGAAAUCCAUAGUUAAAUAUUUCAAUCUCUUACUUUUGCUAUACAUUCUUUUCUUGAAACAUUUUAUUUACUCAUAGAUUAUUACAACAUUAUCUUUAUUUAUUCCUAUUUUUCAAAGAUGUAGGUAUGUUUAAAGCUACAGGCCAAAUAGACAUGGGAUAUCCUCCCCUUCAUUGAGUUUAAACAAGAAAAUUUGAUGAAGGGAAAGGAGAGAGAGAAUGAAACAAGGAAUUUCCUAAGCUAAAUAUGAACUUGUUCAAACGAUUACAUCAUGCACAUCCACCAAAUAUAUUAUAGAAAGACUUGCUCAAAAUACCAUUCUACAACAGCUAAUUUGUUCCCUUUAAAUCUUUCCUUUGAGAGAAGAGAUGAAGUCUUUCAUUCUUCCCCAUUCUGCCUCGACACUUUUCUCCUCCUCCUCAGCAACCUUGGCCUUGGCCGCAUACUCUGGCCAUUCCUUUCCCAUUGCGUCCCGCUGCGCUUUCAAGUCCUGGGAAAUUUUGAAAAUUUCCUUCCGCUCAGCCAAGAUAUUCUCUUUAUUCUUUUGUGCCUCAACAACUUGCUCAUGGAGAGAGGCAAGUUUUUGCUCUGCCUGUUUCACCUCUGCCUUGGCCUCUUUAAAUUUGACUAAACUAUCCUCUAAAUUACGAGAAAGUGCCAGCUUGACAGAUUCCUUCUCAGUAAGGAGAUUCUUGUCCUGCACUGCUUUCACCACUCGCUCAGGUAGUUGUUUAAAGUUCUCCUCCAUGGCCAACAACUCAUUUUUUUGCUCAAUCGUAAAGGUAGAGGAACAAUCAAAACAAGAUAGGACCUUGAAAGCCUUCUUAAGUGAAGAAAUCAUCCCUGAAUCAUAAAAGUUAGCUGGGGCCAUGUUCAGGGCUUCAUCUAUGUUGACCAGAGCUUCCUUUGCUUCUUCUUGAGAAGAAACCAUGUUCCCGCUUGCGAGCUCAGACUCUAAGCUAGUAAAGAAUGUGUCCAUAUCUUCCUCAGUAGGGUCUUCAG